UACAGAGGGUGCGAGCGUUAAUCGGAAUUACUGGGCGUAAAGCGCGCGUAGGUGGUUCAGCAAGUUGGAUGUGAAAGCCCCGGGCUCAACCUGGGAACUGCAUCCAAAACUACUGAGCUAGAGUACGGUAGAGGGUGGUGGAAUUUCCUGUGUAGCGGUGAAAUGCGUAGAUAUAGGAAGGAACACCAGUGGCGAAGGCGACCACCUGGACUGAUACUGACACUGAGGUGCGAAAGCGUGGGGAGCAAACAGG
Molecule: ribosomal RNA, 253 nt
Filed under: uncultured bacterium
Lineage: Bacteria
Description: partial 16S ribosomal RNA
Rfam family: Bacterial small subunit ribosomal RNA
Source: RNAcentral